AGAGUGUUGAUGCCUGGCUCAGAUGUGAACGCUGGCGGUAUGCUUAACACAUGCAAGUCGAACGGUAACAGGGUCUAGCUUGCUAGACCGCUGACGAGUGGCGGACGGGUGAGGAACGCGUAGGGAUCUGUCUAAGAGAUUGGGACAACACGGGGAAACUCGUGCUAAUACCGAAUACGCUCUACGGAGGAAAGGCUGGAGUAAUCCAGUCGCUCAUAGGUGAACCUGCGUAGGAUUAGCUAGUUGGUAGGGUAAGAGCCUACCAAGGCAUCGAUCCAUAGCUGUUCUGAGAGGAAGAUCAGCCACACUGGGACUGAGACACGGCCCAGACUCCUACGGGAGGCAGCAGUGGGGAAUAUUGGACAAUGGGCGCAAGCCUGAUCCAGCAAUACCGCGUGUGUGCAGAAGGCCUGAGGGUAGUAUAGCACUUUCGUCGCAGGACGAAGUGUGUGUAGUCAAUAGCUGCAUGCAUUGACGUCACUCGAAUAUCGAAGCACCGGCUAUCUCUGUGCCAGCAGCCGCGGUAUUACAGAGGGUGCAAGCGUUAAUCGGACUGACUGGGCGUAGAGCGAGCGUAUGUCGAUAUCUAAGUCUGAUGUGAGCGCACUCGGCUUAACCUACGGAAUUGCAUCGUGAUACUGGCGGUAUCUAGAAGNACUGGAUUACACGGAAUGCGCUGGAAAUUUAUCCCGGGUUGUUACCCAGGGUUGAAACAUUGCCCGUUAUCAAAUUCUCACGGG
This 740-nucleotide ribosomal RNA is filed under the name uncultured bacterium. RNAcentral's name for it is "bacterial SSU rRNA". It matches the Rfam family "Bacterial small subunit ribosomal RNA", at positions 1 to 695 of the family's 1533-position model. The record is from RNAcentral.